AGAAUCAACGCUGGCGGCGUGCCUAACACAUGCAAGUCGAACGAGAAAGGGUAGCAAUACCUGAGUAAAGUGGCGCACGGGUGAGUAACACGUGACUAACCUACCUUUUAGUGGGGGAUAACCUAGGGAAACCUGGGCUAAUACCGCAUAAUACCUACGGGUCAAAGCAGCAAUGCGCUGAAAGAGGGGGUCGCGGCCGAUUAGCUAGUUGGCGGGGUAAUGGCCCACCAAGGCAGUGAUCGGUAUCCGGCCUGAGAGGGCGCACGGACACACUGGAACUGAAACACGGUCCAGACUCCUACGGGAGGCAGCAGUGGGGAAUUUGCGCAAUGGGGGAAACCCUGACGCAGCAACGCCGCGUGGAGGAUGAAGUCCCUUGGGACGUAAACUCCUUUCGAUCGGGACGAUAAUGACGGUACCGGAAGAAGAACGCCCGGCUAACUUCGUGCCAGCAGCCGC
This 459-nucleotide ribosomal RNA is filed under the name uncultured bacterium. RNAcentral's name for it is "SSU rRNA". It matches the Rfam family "Bacterial small subunit ribosomal RNA", at positions 26 to 518 of the family's 1533-position model. The record is from RNAcentral.